UGAACGCUGGCGGCGUGCCUUACACAUGCAAGUCGGAUGUGUCGCAAGACACAUGGCAGACGGGUGGAGUAACACGGUAGGGAAACUUACCUCUUAGGUGGGGAAUAACGCUACCGAAAGGAGCGGUAAUACCGCAUGAGACCUAUCGCGUGGGAUGCGAUAGAUAGAAAGCGUGGGGAUCGUAAGACCUAGCGCUGAGAGAGAGUCCUGCGUCUGAUUAGUUAGUUGGUGAGGUAACGGCUCACCAAGACUUCGAUCAGUAGCCGGCCUGAGAGGGCGAUCGGCCACACUGGAACUGAGACACGGUCCAGACUCCUACGGGAGCAGCAGUGGGGAAUCUUGCGCAAUGGGCGAAAGCCUGACGCAGCAACGCCGCGUGGGUGAUGAAGGUCUUCGGAUUGUAAAACCCUGUCGUUAGGGACGAAGGCAUGAACCCUAAUACGAUUCAUGUUUGACGGUACCUAGAAGGAAGCCCCGGCUAACUCUG
Molecule: ribosomal RNA, 487 nt
Filed under: uncultured bacterium
Lineage: Bacteria
Description: bacterial SSU rRNA
Rfam family: Bacterial small subunit ribosomal RNA
Source: RNAcentral